This 421-nucleotide ribosomal RNA is filed under the name uncultured Algoriphagus sp. RNAcentral describes it as "bacterial SSU rRNA". It matches the Rfam family "Bacterial small subunit ribosomal RNA", at positions 355 to 774 of the family's 1533-position model. Lineage: Bacteria; Pseudomonadati; Bacteroidota; Cytophagia; Cytophagales; Cyclobacteriaceae. The record is from RNAcentral.
UAGGGAAUAUUGGGCAAUGGACGAGAGUCUGACCCAGCCAUGCCGCGUGCAGGAAGAAGGCGUUCUGCGUUGUAAACUGCUUUUAUCUGGGAAGAAAAGGCCCAUGCGUGGGACAUUGCCGGUACCAGAUGAAUAAGCACCGGCUAACUCCGUGCCAGCAGCCGCGGUAAUACGGAGGGUGCAAGCGUUGUCCGGAUUUAUUGGGUUUAAAGGGUGCGUAGGCGGCCGAUUAAGUCAGCGGUGAAAGUUUUGGGCUCAACCCAGAAAUUGCCAUUGAUACUGGUCGGCUUGAGUAUUGCAGGGGUACAUGGAAUUGAUGGUGUAGCGGUGAAAUGCAUAGAUACCAUCAGGAACACCGAUAGCGAAGGCAUUGUACUGGGCAACCACUGACGCUGAUGCACGAAAGCAUGGGGAGCGAACA